This 253-nucleotide ribosomal RNA is filed under the name uncultured bacterium. Its description in RNAcentral is "partial 16S ribosomal RNA". It matches the Rfam family "Bacterial small subunit ribosomal RNA", at positions 524 to 776 of the family's 1533-position model. The record is from RNAcentral.
UACGAAGGGGGCUAGCGUUGCUCGGAAUUACUGGGCGUAAAGGGAGCGUAGGCGGACAGUUAAGUCAGUGGUGAAAGCCCAGGGCUCAACCCUGGAAUUGCCUUUGAUACUGAUUGUCUUGAGUAUGGGAGAGGUAUGCGGAACUCCGAGUGUAGAGGUGAAAUUCGUAGAUAUUCGGAAGAACACCAGUGGCGAAGGCGGCAUACUGGCCCAUUACUGACGCUGAGGCUCGAAAGCGUGGGGAGCAAAAGGG